Sciurus carolinensis (gray squirrel) is the source of this 164-nucleotide small nuclear RNA. RefSeq annotates it as U1 spliceosomal RNA. The record is from RefSeq and is a predicted model, not a curated record. Lineage: Eukaryota; Metazoa; Chordata; Mammalia; Rodentia; Sciuridae. The transcript has a single exon.
AUACUUACUUGUCAGGGGAGAUACCAUGAUCUCGAAGGUGGUUUUCUCAGGGCAAGGCUUAUCCAUUGCACUCCGGAUGUGCUGACCCCUGUGAUUUCCCCAAAUGCAGGAAACUUGACUGCAUAAUUUGUGGAAGUGGAGGACUGCGUUCACGCUCUCCACAU